UCUUUAUGGGGUGACUGCGUACCUUUUGUAUAAUGGGUCAGCGACUUAUAUUCUGUAGCAAGGUUAACCGAAUAGGGGAGCCGAAGGGAAACCGAGUCUUAACUGGGCGUUAAGUUGCAGGGUAUAGACCCGAAACCCGGUGAUCUAGCCAUGGGCAGGUUGAAGGUUGGGUAACACUAACUGGAGGACCGAACCGACUAAUGUUGAAAAAUUAGCGGAUGACUUGUGGCUGGGGGUGAAAGGCCAAUCAAACCGGGAGAUAGCUGGUUCUCCCCGAAAGCUAUUUAGGUAGCGCCUCGUGAAUUCAUCUCCGGGGGUAGAGCACUGUUUCGGCAAGGGGGUCAUCCCGACUUACCAACCCGAUGCAAACUGCGAAUACCGGAGAAUGUUAUCACGGGAGACACACGGCGGGUGCUAACGUCCGUCGUGAAGAGGGAAACAACCCAGACCGCCAGCUAAGGUCCCAAAGUCAUGGUUAAGUGGGAAACGAUGUGGGAAGGCCCAGACAGCCAGGAUGUUGGCUUAGAAGCAGCCAUCAUUUAAAGAAAGCGUAAUAGCUCACUGGUCGAGUCGGCCUGCGCGGAAGAUGUAACGGGGCUAAACCAUGCACCGAAGCUGCGGCAGCGACACUAUGUGUUGUUGGGUAGGGGAGCGUUCUGUAAGCCUGUGAAGGUGUACUGUGAGGUAUGCUGGAGGUAUCAGAAGUGCGAAUGCUGACAUAAGUAACGAUAAAGCGGGUGAAAAGCCCGCUCGCCGGAAGACCAAGGGUUCCUGUCCAACGUUAAUCGGGGCAGGGUGAGUCGACCCCUAAGGCGAGGCCGAAAGGCGUAGUCGAUGGGAAACAGGUUAAUAUUCCUGUACUUGGUGUUACUGCGAAGGGGGGACGGAGAAGGCUAUGUUGGCCGGGCGACGGUUGUCCCGGUUUAAGCGUGUAGGCUGAUUUUCCAGGCAAAUCCGGAAAAUCAAGGCUGAGGCGUGAUGACGAGGCACUACGGUGCUGAAGCAACAAAUGCCCUGCUUCCAGGAAAAGCCUCUAAGCAUCAGGUAACAUCAAAUCGUACCCCAAACCGACACAGGUGGUCAGGUAGAGAAUACCAAGGCGCUUGAGAGAACUCGGGUGAAGGAACUAGGCAAAAUGGUGCCGUAACUUCGGGAGAAGGCACGCUGAUAUGUAGGUGAAGCGACUUGCUCGUGGAGCUGAAAUCAGUCGAAGAUACCAGCUGGCUGCAACUGUUUAUUAAAAACACAGCACUGUGCAAACACGAAAGUGGACGUAUACGGUGUGACGCCUGCCCGGUGCCGGAAGGUUAAUUGAUGGGGUUAGCGGUAACGCGAAGCUCUUGAUCGAAGCCCCGGUAAACGGCGGCCGUAACUAUAACGGUCCUAAGGUAGCGAAAUUCCUUGUCGGGUAAGUUCCGACCUGCACGAAUGGCGUAAUGAUGGCCAGGCUGUCUCCACCCGAGACUCAGUGAAAUUGAACUCGCUGUGAAGAUGCAGUGUACCCGCGGCAAGACGGAAAGACCCCGUGAACCUUUACUAUAGCUUGACACUGAACAUUGAGCCUUGAUGUGUAGGAUAGGUGGGAGGCUUUGAAGUGUGGACGCCAGUCUGCAUGGAGCCGACCUUGAAAUACCACCCUUUAAUGUUUGA
This 1650-nucleotide ribosomal RNA is filed under the name Escherichia coli. RNAcentral describes it as "partial 23S ribosomal RNA". It matches the Rfam family "Bacterial large subunit ribosomal RNA", at positions 582 to 2217 of the family's 2925-position model. Lineage: Bacteria; Pseudomonadati; Pseudomonadota; Gammaproteobacteria; Enterobacterales; Enterobacteriaceae. The record is from RNAcentral.